GUUGUGUUACUUCUGUAGACUUACAAACCUCCACAAUGAUCUUCUUACUAGGAAUAUUGGUCGUGGACCUUUCAGGUAAAACCCAUGGGAAUACAAUCACUCCAAACAAUGUUGAACUCAAAAUGGUGGAGGGAGAUGAUUUAACCCUCUCCUGUAACUACAGCUCUGGAGACUUUCUACAGUGGUAUCGACAGUACCCAAGAUCAGCACCCCAGUUUCUCUUGUUUAUCACCAGUCCUGAUACGCCAGGGACAUCAGAGGAGGAUACUCGAUUGUCUGGGAGAAUGAAUAAGGAGAGAAAUCAAGUGUUCCUGGACAUCUCAUCUGCUAAACUCACAGACUCUGCUCUCUACUACUGUGCCAUGAGGCCCACAGUGAAGGAAACAGGAAAGCUGUCAAACAAAAACUCACAUGACAUGAGAUAGCAUGCAUUACACCUUCACCAUACUUUAUUCUCCAAAAAAGUUGGACAAUUUUUAAACAUAUAGAGAUUAGUUAUUGAAUGAAUACAUGUUCAUAAUGUGUAUACCUGUUUAUUAUAUACAUACUGUAGGCUACUAUUUUAA
Molecule: non-coding RNA, 566 nt
Organism: Alosa sapidissima (American shad)
Lineage: Eukaryota; Metazoa; Chordata; Actinopteri; Clupeiformes; Clupeidae
Source: the annotation of a RefSeq genome assembly